RNAcentral lists this long non-coding RNA (7592 nucleotides) under Sus scrofa (pig). RNAcentral describes it as "lncRNA (ENSSSCG00000059116.1)". The record is from RNAcentral. Lineage: Eukaryota; Metazoa; Chordata; Mammalia; Artiodactyla; Suidae.
GGGCUGCACCCAUGGCACAUGUAAGUUCUCAGGCUAGGGGUUGAAUUGGAGAUACAGCUUACAGCCUACACCACAGCCACAGCAAUGCAGGAUCCGAGCCACAUCUGCAACCUACACCACAGCUCAUGGCAACACUGGAUUCUUAAUCCACUGAGCGAGGUCAUGGAUCGAACCCACAUCCUCACCGAUACUAGUUAACCACAACGGUAACUCCCCAGAGCCUUUUUUGUAGUAGUCCUGGAUACGAAAUCCAGUCAUUAUCAAUUUGAUCUCUUUUGACCCACAAGGAUCUGAAAAAAGCCAAGACUGGUUUUAUACCUCCUGCUGGUAUUUCUGGUGGAGCACGCAGAUGGCACCCUCUCCACACAUCCCGACAUUCACUUGGGAAUACUAAGGAGGCUUAGCCUUUGAGCCAUGGACUUAACAUUUCCUGACAAUAUUGCAUGUGCAUUAGAAUCAACUGGAUGCCUGUUGACAUUCAGACUGCUGAACCCCACCCCUGGAGUUUCUGACUCAGCUAGCUUGGGGUAUAGUAUGAGAAUUUGCAUUUCUAACAAGUUCUCAGGUGAUGCUAAUGCUGCUGGUCCAGGGGCCCCACCUGAAACCACUGCCCUGGCUUCUUCCCUGUGAUGGGGCUAUUGAUAUAUCUCACAUUUAAAGCAAAACCAGCUGAGGUGCUUUUACCAGCCAGAAUGGCUAUCAUCAAAAAGUCUACCAACAAUAAUUGCUGGAGAGGAUGUGGAGAAAAAGGAACCCUAUUACACUGUUGGUGGGAAUGUAAAUUGGUGCAAUCACUGUGGAAAACAGUAUGGAAAUUCCUCAGAAAACUAAAAAUAGAAUGACCAUUUGAUCCAGCAAUCCCUCUCCUGGGCAUCUACCCAGAGAAAACCAUGACUCGAAAAGACACAUGUACUCCAAUGUUCAUUGUAGCACUCUAUACAAUAGCCAAGACAUGGAAACAACCUAAAUGUCCAUCAACAGACGAGUGGAUCAAGAAGAGGUGGUACGUAUACACAAUGGAAUAUUACUCAGCCAUUAAAAGGAAAGCAAUAACAGCAAUUUUGGAGUGACAUGGAUGGACCUAGAAAUUACCAUGCUAAGUGAAGUCAAUCAGGCAAUGAGAUACCAACAUCAAAUGCUAUCACUGACAUGUGGAAUCUAAAAAAAGGACACAAUGAACUUCUUUGCAGAACAGAUACUGACUCACAGACUUUGAAAAACUUAUAGUUUCCAAAUGAGACAAGUUGGGGGAUAAGGGGAUACCCUGAGGGUUUGGGAUGGAAAUGCUAUAAAAUUUGGUUGUGAUGAUUGUUAUACAAUUAUAAAUGUAAUACAAUUCAUUGAGUAUUUAAAAAAUAAAAAAUAAAAUAAAUUUGUUUGGAAAAAAAAGAUUUAGGUGCUUUUAGACCCCAUUUUAGCAGUUUUGGAAUGCUAUGUUUUGUGCUUCAUAACUUCUACCUCUCUGUUCUCUACUAUUCAUUUUUGCAGAAGUGAACAGGAAGGACUCUUUAUGUAAACAUACUGCUUCAUACUCAUGCCAGGACAUAGUUACCUAAACAAGCACUGUUUCCUUCUCCUGGAGGACCUAGCUGUCAUUCUCACGGAGCUGCCACAGCCAGCCUUUAACUAACCACUGUCUUCACAGCUCAUCCUGCUUGGCUUGAAUGAACUCAACAGUUCAUCUUGAUGGGAUGGAUGGAACCUAUUCAUUCAUUUGUUUACAUGUUUACUGAGCACCUACUAUAUGCCAAGCCCUUUUCUGAAAAACAGUUUUAAAGAACCAUGACCCUUUCCCUCAAGGAGUUUAUAAUCUUAGGUUGAGUGUGAAUUUGAGCAGAACUGAUAAAAAACAAAAUGAAAUACAUGAAUCCAUUGUGAUAGGUAAGUAUCCAUUGUGACAGAUGAAAAAAAAAAAAAACAUAUGAAGAAGGUCCCCUUUAGGUUAGAUGACCAGAGAAAGCCCCUGGAGGAGGUAACACUUAAAUUUAGAGAAGCUGGAAGUCCAUUCCCAUCUGUGUACCCUGAGCCAAACAUACUCUUAAGGCCACUCUGGGAGCUUUAAAAAUGUUUAUCUGCUACUUAUAAACAAUAAAAAGAGUAAUACAUUUCAGGCUUAGAUUACUGUUUCUAUUAAGGAAGAGAAAAAGCCAUUCCUAGGCAUACUGGUUAAAGCAAGCUGGAGGUCUGGUGAAUAAAUACAAUUUAUAAUGUAAAAUGAAGGAUCACUGUCCACUUUUAAAAGUAGUGCUUAUCAGCAUGCCUAACUUUUCUAAAAUAGUCUAGAAAAUAAUAAUAAAAUCCAAAAAAUUAUGAAACAUCCCAAGGUUUGAAAGAGUGAUAUUCAUGUAAAUGCAUAAAUUGUUCAGUACAUAUUUACUAAAUCCUCAGAACUUCCCAAACCAUAGGGAUGCCUAACCCUUCCCACUGACAAAUAUUAGCUAAACAUCUAUGAUGCACUUACCACUUCCUCAAGCUGGUCACAGUUUUGCUUCUUUUCACUACUGCCAUUUCGCUUCCUUACUCUGCCAACAAACAUUAUGACCAAAUGAUCAGAAGAUCAUGAUGGUGGGCAUAGGUUUUUGUUUUGUUUCUUUUUUUUCUUAUGUGUGCUUUAGAUCUUGAAAAUCCACUACCCUACAAGUUGCAUCUACUACAUUUCUUGCACCAGUCUAUGAAGCAAAGCAACACAUUUUUACAGCUAGUUAUCACUAGAACUUCCUGCAAACCUCUUGCUCAAUAUUACUGGAUGGCCAAGGCCUAAAUAUCAUCUUUAUCUUUCAAAAUGGAUGGAUUUUCAACAGCUCUGUGUCUUCAGCCCUAGAAUUUUAGUUCCAAUUCCAGAUAAUUAUACUUUCUAGGUCUCUAGUGCCUGCAAACCCUUGUCUGAAGAACCUCAACUGGAAGACACAUAUGCCCACUUUUAGUGGAGCAAUACUGAACAGGCAAUGCUGUAUAGUUCGUACCAAUUUUACCACUGACUUUCUAAAACUCUUAGAGGAAACAAGUCUCAAGAAUUUGCUCAUCCACUGAAUCAACUCCCCAAAACAUACUGCACACCUACUGUUAAUUCAUCCCAUAAACAAUGCAGAAGACUUUCUACAAAGGAAUACAUGGAGGUGUCCUUUCUAACACGUGUUUGUUUUAACUUAGAGUGAUAAUACCAGGGCACUACCAGUUGACUAGACCUAUAACCAUGUCUCAAUUAUUGCUUCAGGUCUUUCCAGGGGUAACCUAAUUUGGGUAGGAUUCCUGUGUUUUCCAGUGUCAUCUCCUUUAUAUGCCUCUGAAGAUGUUAGACAAAAGUGGAUACAAUUGAGAAUGGAAUACACAAAAUCAAGCCUGUUUAUACUGAAAGGAAUCUGAAUAAAAUACUUCAUCAAUGGCACACAAUUGUGAUUACACAGUACUUCAAAAAUGUCAUCAAUAUUGAUUAAUGAGAACCUACUAAAUAGCACAGGAAAAUCUACUCAAUAAUUUGUAAUAACCUAUAUGGGAAAAAAAGAAUGGAUAUAUUCACAUGUAUGACUGAUUCACUUUGCUGUAUACCUGAAAUUAAUACAUUAUAAAUCAUCUAUAGUCCAAUAAAAUUAAAUUUUAAAAAAGUCAUCAAUAGUUUAAGCUUACCAUUUAUUUUAAAAAAGAAAAAUACUAAAUAAAACAAAAGGCUAGGUUUCCUCCCUUCCUGAUUUCCCUGGCAUUUAGGAGGAUUGCCAUAGAUAAGUCCACAAGUGAACAGCUGAGCUACAUAAUGUACAGUUCUAACUGGGCAGCUUCUAAAAAAAAAAUAGAAGGACUCCUUCCAACUCCAGUUAAUGUGCUUGAUACAAAGGGAACAUGUUUCUGCAACAAACACAUUUAGAGCUUGGUGUUUUACAGAGUAACUAAUGAAGGCUCAAGCCAUAGAAAAAUUUAUUUUUCCAGGAUAUUACAUGUUCUGACUCACCAUUUUAACAGAAGUACAAGUAAAAUGAAAAUGCAAAUUAAACGUAUACGUGUUUAUGACUUAACCAGUAUAUGACAAGGCUACUUUUGGCUUCUGGCUUUAUUAACCAGGAAGAGAAGCCUGGAAAACCACCAUACAUUUGUAUUUCUAUUCAAGUAGUUCCCUCUCUCCAAGUACUGGUUGGAGCAAAGUAUUAAUUCUAAGUCCAGUAAUACAUAUAAGCCAAGAGAUCAUAGUGAAUGGAUGAAAGAAGACAUUGUAUCCUUAAUUAUCUGCCUGAACAAGAUUUUUUAAAAAUACCAUCUCACAUGUGAUUACUCAUUAAUAAUUAUUGCAAACAAAUCUUUGUUAACGUCUAUGAUUUCUAGAAAUCAAAAAUGCACUUUCACCAUAGAAACUCUGGCCAACCUUGAAUAAAAGCUUCUUAAGAAUUCCGCAUUAGCCAUGGUCCUCCUUCUAAACACCUGUGCGACUGUGAGCGAGUCAGUUAACCUGUUCUGCAACCUGUUCAAGCCUGGGUUUCUUACCAAUAAAAAGUGAGUCUCUGAACUAGUUAACAUAUGAAUUCUUUGUAAGAAAUCUACCUCAGUCCCCAAUGGCUGAAUCUGUUAAUAAUAUUUAAGACCCAUUCUAAUUCUUUAUCAUCAUUCCUCUAAACAUAAAAAACAUGACUUUGGGGCAUAUAGGAAGAAGAGUGUUAAGAGGUUUCUUAAAGGGAACAGAAACUAGAUUGGUUUUGUUAAUUAGGUUCCCCCUAUGAAACCACCAGCCAGUAUUAGCAGCUGCUGAAAUUUACCCAAAGAGUGGUUGGUUUCUCCAUCUUAAGACUUACUCUUUCAUAUAAUGGCACAAGUCAACUUCUAGGAAUGUAUCUUUCAGCCAGUUACACAUUACUAACAACAAAGGGUGGGGAUGGGAGGCAAGCAAAAGAGCAUUGCAGAGACUAUGUGAGUCUACAUUUACACAAAGAAAAACUCUUCUUUAUAUGAUGUAUUCAGGAGAGCCAUGAUGGGCACCUGCACCUGCUAGGUUCAGGAGGCACCUUUUGUAGGUAAAUUAUCUUAUGGAUCAGCAGAUACUGGGAAUUUACACGAUAAGAUGCAGUCUAUGUAUUAUGGCAGGUGUUUUCCUUAUGAGUGAUUUCACUCACCUCCUUCAUUCAACAACUCUUUAUUGAGUACUUUCUAUAUGCAAACCCCAAAGCUAAAGAAUGAAUAAAUAAAGAUGAGAGUUGAUCAUCUGGAAUAUUCAAGUUAAUCCUGACGUUCAUUUAAGAGUAGUUCAGCCCCUCAGAAUAUUUCCAAGUCAAAAAAUAAUACUAAACAAUCUAGAUGCUAAGCUCAAGUGCCCUUGGACUUUUUUUCCCUUCCAUUACAUGGUAUGUGGCAAAAGGGGAGUAAAUUACAGGUGUGGUAGGUAAUUUGCUAAAUCCCUUUAGUUAAUACAGGGUGAAAAGUCUUCUAUCCCCUAAAGGAAAUAACAUUGGCUCACAAAUAUAUUGAUAAGCAUCGCAGACUGCUAAAACCAGAAAAAGCAAAGUAAUUCCAUACCAACCUCUUGUUUUACAGGUGAGAGACUUGAGGCUCAGAGAUGGUAUGAUCUGUUCCAGGUUAUACAGCCAAAAAAGUGCCAGAACCAAUACCCAGGUCACCAGCAGGCAGGCUUAACAGUCCCUAGUAUAUUGUACAUGUUCUAGCCCAUGACAUGCCCUCAGUGCUAAAGGCAUAAUCCACAGAAUGAAGGACUAGACAUCAGGAACUCUGAGUUCUGGUCUUAGAAACAUGAUACCACAGAAAACUUGGAUCACUUAUCUAAGCCUCAGUUUCCUCAUCUGUCGAAAUGUGAACAGUAGUUCAUGGUGAAACAGUGCAGACCCCAAUAAAGGCAGAGGUCUGGCCACAGUCAAAACAUUAUACAAGUACAGAACUGGUACUGGGUGAGGAUAGCGGUGAUGGAGAUUUCAGAGAACCUGGCUCUGACUCUAAUUAUCCACUGUAACCCUGAGAUGUCACUGAAUUUGUGAGCCUCCCAUUCCUCCUGUGAACAUGUGGUUAAUAAUCAUUGCCCUGCUUCCCUCAGAAAUGCUCAGAAUUAAAUGCUUUUCACUGUUCUCUGAAAAGCAUUUACAAAGAGCAGGCAUUGAUGCAAAUAUAGGUAUUCUUAUCAAAUCCUCUAGUCUUCUUAAUUUGGACAAACAUGUAACACAGUUUCAUUACUUAUUUCUUAACAGUUUCCCUUCUCAACUAAAAGGUCAUUUACAUCAGUCUCAGACUUACCAGUCUUCAUAAGUCCCCAAAGAACGCACCAUUUCCCUCAGCCCAGAGAUCAUGCAUGAUGCUUACUCAACUUCCCACUGGCACAGACCUGGCUGAGAAAGGUUUAUUUCCAGGGCCUCCUUUCCGCUGGAAACACUCGGACAAAAGCUUCCAUGAACACUAUCCCACUUCAUCACACUGGAGUGGUAAUGAAACAAACCCUUUGGCUUUUCUCUACUCCAACAACUGCGGAACACUUCAGCCUUACACAGACCUAGACAGAGGUCUGAGUGGAUGCUUUUCACAGGAGGGGCAACAAAGGUUCCCCAAACCCAUGCUCAGCAGUACCAAUGGGGAGACUGCUUCUUCUUUGCAGAAAACUAACACAUUCUUAGGCCCAGCCCGCCAUUCAAGGAUCAUCCAUCCACCUUAGAGUUAGGGUGUCCAGCAGGCUGAGAAUGUCAUAGAAAAAUAGUGGGAGGGGGGGUAGUUCUGGUCUGCGACACUAUCUUUAAAAAAAAGCAUCACAGUAACCAGCAUUUUCUUGCUGAGAGCCCUGAUUUCAGUUGAUCAAAAAAAACAAUUCAUCAGUCUAUCCAAACAACUUCUCUGGAACAGGUUUCUCUCUAACCGCGACGGGUACCAGAGACUAGGGUGGGGGACGGUUAAGAAUUGACAACAGGCUUAUCUGCAUAGAUGAGCGAUAAGCAGACAUUUGUUGUCUCCCUGUUUUGACGAUUCCUGGCAUCGGUAUGGCAAAUCAAACUCCAGCAUUCUCCCUCUCUGGUGCCCCCACCAUCCCCCCGCCCCAACCCAGCUGUUGAAGUGUCACGUUGACGGGGCUGGGGGAACAGAAGCAGGGGAAACGCAGAAGUCUGUUGCUGCAUUUAGACUGGAAACACACAGCACCUGUUCAAUCCGGCCCCGGCGCCAGAACUGACCAGAACACCGAACUGCAAGCCCCUCUAGAGAUCCCAGAGGCGCCUAACAAGUUCGCCCGCUGUUUGAUACCAAGGAGGGGUGGUGGGAGAUUUCUCUGCAGCCAAACUCAACUGACUCCCCUGAAAAAAGGGAGGGGGCUCCUGCUUAACUGAACCCAGAGUGAUGCUCAAGUGUCAGAGCGGCCCCAGGGGAUCCGGGUGGUGAGCGGGUGGGUGCCCGCGGGGAGCGCGCAGCCGAGAGCCCCAGCGGAAUGAAGGUCCUGCUUCGAUGGCCACGCGCGCCUCCUCCAGCAGACCCCUAGCACGAGGCGGAUAAAGUGCGAGCGUUGAGAGACCUCCAGGAUUCAUCGGAGACUUAGAGCCCCCAACCUGAGCCCAGACUGAGGGUCGUGGGAGGACGGGCCCGGCACGCGCAGGAAACUUACCUCACCCGGACAGCAUUCGGGCGCCUCC